This is a non-coding RNA of Cololabis saira (Pacific saury), 276 nucleotides long. The record is from RefSeq and is a predicted model, not a curated record. NCBI's taxonomy places the organism in Eukaryota, Metazoa, Chordata, Actinopteri, Beloniformes, Belonidae.
UGCCUGCAGUGCUGGGAAGCUGCCCCUGGUGGAAACUGUCUCCAGUGGGCAAAACAGCACUGCGGAAAACAACCCGAGGAGUGAAAAGGCGUGACUUCUGCAGGUUUGGGGGUUUCACGUGCGAUGCUCCUUGGACACGUCCCUGCCUCCCAUGGAGGUGCCGGUCCGGGUCGUGGCCGCCACCGUUCUUGAGGCAGGUAGAGUAAAAGCUGGCGGCUAGAUGUUGUUUGCAGCAGGAGAAGGUUUUUCUGCCAGACACUGUCAGCUGCUACACAC